Molecule: long non-coding RNA, 720 nt
Organism: Engraulis encrasicolus (European anchovy)
Lineage: Eukaryota; Metazoa; Chordata; Actinopteri; Clupeiformes; Engraulidae
Exons: 4
Source: RefSeq, a predicted model, not a curated record
AUGCGCGCGCCGGAGAACCAGCGCAGGGCGCGGAAGUAGCACAGCUCGUGUCGGCACUCCCGUCUGUCAAGCGCAAGUCUCCAAACUUGUCACCUGCAUGCGCCUGGGAACAGCGACAUCGGACUACUACACUGACCACGCGGUCUGUGAUAAGACUGGGAUAAUUUCCAGGUUCCUACAGCUCCCCCAAACAGCCCAGCAGUAUACGGACCUACAGAGAGAGCCGCGUGCCGCUUUUGAGGAUUUUCCGCGCUUCUCCUUGCUCGAGCGCAACCCGGUAGAAGCUCGUGCGUCUGGUUUUGAGUGACUCCACUGACGGUGCCCCGCUGUGGUGCCAUGUUGGCCGCACCCCUGCCACCCCCAGCUCACACCCCCCACACACACACCUCCGCACACGCACACACACACACCACCAAAACCGACGCCAGCACACACACACCCACACACACCCCCGCUGCCAUUGAGCCCCCCUUAGACAUUCCAGUAUUGAAUGACGACGAGGAAGAUCAAAGUCAAUAUGGCAAAGGUGGGUACUACCCUGUGCAGAUUGGGGAGAUGUUUGCGGAACGCUACCAGGUGCUGAAGAAGCUGGGAUGGGGACACUUCUCAACCGUAUGGCUAUGCAGAGACACCAGGACAGGCUCCUUCGUGGCUCUGAAGGUGGUGAGGAGUGCUGCGACCUUCACAGAGACAGCUCUGGAUGAAAUCAAACUGCUCAAG